This 407-nucleotide ribosomal RNA is filed under the name uncultured bacterium. RNAcentral's name for it is "partial 16S ribosomal RNA". It matches the Rfam family "Bacterial small subunit ribosomal RNA", at positions 30 to 526 of the family's 1533-position model. The record is from RNAcentral.
AUUGAACGCUGGCGGCAGGCCUAACACAUGCACGUCGAGCGGAGCGGCGGACGGGUGAUUAAUGCCUAGGCAUCUGCCUGGUAGUGGGGGAUAACGUCCGGUCACGGGCGCUAAUACCGCAUACUAUCAGAUGAGCCUAGGUCGUAUUAGCUAGUUGGUGGGGUAAAGGCCUACCAAGGCGACGAUCCGUAACUGGUCUGAGAGGAUGAUCAGUCACACUGGAACUGAGACACGGUCCAGACUCCUACGUGAGGCAGCAGUGGGGAAUAUUGGACAAUGGGCGCAGUCCUGAUCCAGCCAGGCCGCGUGUGUGAAGAAGGUCGUCGGAUUGUAAAGCACUUUAAGUUGGGAGGCGUUACCAACAGAAUAAGCACCGGCUAACUUCGUGCCAGCCGCCGCGGUAAUUC